GACGAACGCUGGCGGCGUGCCUAAUACAUGCAAGUCGAACGCAGUGGGGACGGGUGAGUAACACGUGGGUAACCUCCCAUCAGAGGGGAUACCACUUGGAAACAGGUGCUAAACCGAUACUGAUGGAUGGACCCGCGGUGCAUUAGCUAGUUGGUGAGGUAACGGCGCACCAAGGCCACGAUGCAUAGCCGACCUGAGAGGGUGAUCGGCCACACUGGGACUGAGACACGGCCCAGACUCCUACGGGAGGCAGCAGUAGGGAAUAUUCGGCAAUGGGCGAAAGUCUGACCGAGCAACGCCGCGUGAGUGAAGAAGGUUUUCGGGUCGUAAAACUCUGUUGUUAGAGAAGCGGUAUCUAAACAGAAAGCCACGGCUAACUACGUGCCAGCAGCCGCGGUAAUAC
RNAcentral lists this ribosomal RNA (403 nucleotides) under uncultured bacterium. Its description in RNAcentral is "partial 16S ribosomal RNA". It matches the Rfam family "Bacterial small subunit ribosomal RNA", at positions 28 to 526 of the family's 1533-position model. The record is from RNAcentral.